This 543-nucleotide ribosomal RNA is filed under the name Chusquea culeou. RNAcentral describes it as "eukaryotic LSU rRNA". The stretch from base 99 to 254 matches the Rfam family "5.8S ribosomal RNA". Lineage: Eukaryota; Viridiplantae; Streptophyta; Magnoliopsida; Poales; Poaceae. The record is from RNAcentral.
CCUCCCCAAAACAGACCGCGCAUGCGUCACCCUCCCGGCCGCACGGCGCCGACGGCGUCAAGGAACAUUGUGUCGCUAAGCAAAAGGAUAACUCACACGACUCUCGGCAACGGAUAUCUCGGCUCUCGCAUCGAUGAAGAACGUAGCGAAAUGCGAUACCUAGUGUGAAUUGCAUAAUCCCUCGAACCAUCGAGUCUUUGAACACAAGUUGCGCCCGAGGCCACCAGGCCGAGGGCACGCCUCCCUGGGCGUCACGCCAAAAGACGCUCCCCACCCCCCCUCGGCGGGGCGGAGGACGCUGCGUUUGGCCCCCCGUCGGCAAGGUGGGCGAUCUCACACUCUUUUCGACACAGUGCCCCGGCACGUAGCCGGCGCAGCGGCCCCACGGACCCAAGGACCGGAGAGCACAUCGCUCGGACCGUGACCCUAGGUCAGGCGGGACUACCCGCUGAGUUUAAGCAUAUAAAUAAGCGGAGGAGAAGAAACUUACGAGGAUUCCCCUAGUAACGGCGAGUGAACCGGGAGCAGCCCAGCUUGAGAAUC